This 1140-nucleotide long non-coding RNA is filed under the name Nicotiana tabacum (common tobacco). RNAcentral's name for it is "long non-coding RNA (NTAB_LNC002834)". Lineage: Eukaryota; Viridiplantae; Streptophyta; Magnoliopsida; Solanales; Solanaceae. The record is from RNAcentral.
CACAGACGGCGCCAAAUUGUUUGACUCAAAAGAUAUCAGAAUCUUUUUAAAUAAAUCAAUUAAAGAAAAUAAAGAGGUAAAUCUUAGCUAAGCAUAAUAAUCUCUAGAACCAAAGAUAGACCAGGAGAAUGUAGAGAAUAAGAGCCCUUUAUCUCUUGGAAAAGAAGACUUAAAUAAUAACCCAGUCAAUCCUCUAUGUAAACGAGUUUACAACAAGUAUUAUAAGUUAGGGAAGAUAUAUCCAGCGCCCUUUAAAAGGCUGUUUUACGCUCUAUAUAUGUAAGGGACCAAAACCCUUCUAAGCUUUAAAAGACAAGUUAUAGGGAAUAUUCGAAAGAAUAUUCCUAAGGUCCCCUAAUCGGCCUGCUCUACUGCAAGAGUCGUACAGCCUCCUGUUCGCCUUAAAGUCGUCCUUUGCAGGAUGUCGAACUUCAAGGAUCUCGUCAUUCGUCGUACUCGUCAGCGGUCAUGGUUGUUCAAAUUUGAACCCAUACAAUACUAUCAGUGAUAAACCUAUCAUAUAGAUUUAACAGUAAUUAGCUUAAACUUCGUGAGAAACAUAAUGCUAUGAUAAAAUUAGUCAUUAGACAUUCAUAAACAUUACAACAAAAACAAUACUCUUAUUUGGGCUAGGCUGGAGGCCUAAUACAUACACAUGAAGAUAAGUAGCUAGCUAACAAAUUAAACACACACAACAAUAUUUAUUGAAAAUUCAAUAAGAACUAAGUACAGAUAGCUGCAUAAACAUAAUUUGCCUUGCCCUUGAGAUUUCUCUUUAAAUUAUCAUUUCCUUGAGCUCAUUAAGUGCUGUCUCAAAGGGAAUUGGAAAUGCCAAAGGAUAGAAGUUGCCCUUUCCAACCAAAAAACCACCACCAAGAAAAUCAAUGGCCAUUUUCCUUACCGUCUCCGGUGAGAGGCGACCAUCUUUUCCGACCACCAAUUUAGUGGGUGGCAAAAAAGGAUGGCCGCCCACCAAACAAAGGAGGCCUCACAUGAAAGGGGGAGAGAGGGUUUGUUUCGAAAGGUUUGGCUCAGUUUUUAUAAGGCUGGGCUUGCUUCUUUUGUCGUUGGAUAUGAGGGCAACAAAUGAAGACUUUGAUCUCUCCUCCACUCAAAUACGGAUUUAAAAUUUAAAUUUGG